GACGAACGCUGGCGGCGUGCUUAACACAUGCAAGUCGAACGGAAAGGCCCUGCUUUUGUGGGGUUCUCGAGUGGCGAACGGGUGAGUAACACGUGAGUAACCUGCCCUUGACUGUGGGAUAACUUCAGGAAACUGGGGCUAAUGCCGGAUAGGAGCUCCUGCUGCAGGGGGGGGGUUGGAAAGUUUCGGCGGUUGGGGAUGGACUCGCGGCUUAUCAGCUUGUUGGUGGGGUAGUGGCUUACCAAGGCUUUGACGGGUAGCCGGCCUGAGAGGGUGACCGGCCACAUUGGGACUGAGAUACGGCCCAGACUCCUACGGGAGGCAGCAGUGGGGAAUAUUGCACAAUGGGCGGAAGCCUGAUGAAGCAACGCCGCGUGCGGGAUGAAGGCCUUCGGGUUGUAAACCGCUUUCGCCUGUGACGAAGCGUGAGUGACGGUAAUGGGUAAAGAAGCACCGGCUAACUACGUG
This 468-nucleotide ribosomal RNA is filed under the name uncultured bacterium. Its description in RNAcentral is "partial 16S ribosomal RNA". It matches the Rfam family "Bacterial small subunit ribosomal RNA", at positions 28 to 507 of the family's 1533-position model. The record is from RNAcentral.